This 429-nucleotide ribosomal RNA is filed under the name Chloroflexota bacterium. RNAcentral describes it as "Chloroflexi bacterium partial 16S ribosomal RNA". It matches the Rfam family "Bacterial small subunit ribosomal RNA", at positions 355 to 776 of the family's 1533-position model. Lineage: Bacteria; Bacillati; Chloroflexota. The record is from RNAcentral.
UGGGGAAUAUUGCACAAUGGGCGCAAGCCUGAUGCAGCCAUGCCGCGUGUGUGAAGAAGGCCUUCGGGUUGUAAAGCACUUUCAGCGGGGAGGAAGGCGUUAAGGUUAAUAACCUUGGCGAUUGACGUUACCCGCAGAAGAAGCACCGGCUAACUCCGUGCCAGCAGCCGCGGUAAUACGGAGGGUGCAAGCGUUAAUCGGAAUUACUGGGCGUAAAGCGCACGCAGGCGGUCUGUCAAGUCGGAUGUGAAAUCCCCGGGCUCAACCUGGGAACUGCAUUCGAAACUGGCAGGCUAGAGUCUUGUAGAGGGGGGUAGAAUACCAGGUGUAGCGGUGAAAUGCGUAGAGAUCUGGAGGAAUACCGGUGGCGAAGGCGGCCCCCUGGACAAAGACUGACGCUCAGGUGCGAAAGCGUGGGGAGCAAACAGG